This is a long non-coding RNA of Triticum dicoccoides, 216 nucleotides long. RefSeq lists it as uncharacterized. NCBI's taxonomy places the organism in Eukaryota, Viridiplantae, Streptophyta, Magnoliopsida, Poales, Poaceae. The record is from RefSeq and is a predicted model, not a curated record. The transcript has 3 exons.
CUCCGUCUCCGGGAUGCUCCUCCUCCGCUUGGUGGCCAUGGGAUGUGCAGGCAAGGAUUGGAUACUUGAGGAAGGAGGGGUCGACCUUGCCUUGCUGCAGCUCGGGACGCACCACCCAUGGAGCUUCCUCCUUUCCGUCUUCAGCAAGGUUAACCACGAUCACACGAAGCCGAAGGUGCACGAUGAAAAAACCGUACGUGCAUGCUCUAUCCAUCC